This 281-nucleotide long non-coding RNA is filed under the name Hordeum vulgare. RNAcentral describes it as "long non-coding RNA (HVUL_LNC002130)". The record is from RNAcentral. Lineage: Eukaryota; Viridiplantae; Streptophyta; Magnoliopsida; Poales; Poaceae.
GGUCGUGCUCCGCCGGAGGGAGGAGCGACGCGAUAGCCGCGCCGCCGUGCUGUGGCUCGACGGCCCGAGCGCCUAAGGGCGCCUUGCCUCCUGUCGGGAGGCGCUUGAUAUCAUCGUCUUAACAUUAUGGCUGUCGUCAAGUCGCAUUGGCCGCUGCUUGUAUUUUUAUUACAGAGGAUGUCGUUGCCUGUAGCAGUCUCUGCGUGAAGACCAUUAAGUUCUUGGUAUGGAUUUAUUUUUCAAUCCGUCAAUCAUGGAUGCCAAUGCAAUGUUCUGCCUUU